This 497-nucleotide ribosomal RNA is filed under the name uncultured bacterium. Its description in RNAcentral is "partial 16S ribosomal RNA". It matches the Rfam family "Bacterial small subunit ribosomal RNA", at positions 28 to 507 of the family's 1533-position model. The record is from RNAcentral.
GACGAACGCUGGCGGCGUGCCUAAUACAUGCAAGUAGAACGCUGAAGAGAGGAGCUUGCUCUUCUUGGUUGAGUUGCGAACGGGUGAGUAACGCGUAGGUAACCUGCCUUUUAGCGGGGGAUAACUAUUUGAAACGAUAGCUAAUACCGCAUAACAAUGGAUGACACAUGUCAUUUAUUUUAAAGGGGCAAUUGUUCCACUACAAGAUGGACCUGAGUUGUAUUAGCUAGUAGGUGAGGUAAUGGCUCACCUAGGCGAAGAUACAUAGCCGACCUGAGAGGGAGGUCGGCCAAAAUGGGAAUGAGACAAGGCCCAGACUCCUAAGGGAGGCAGCAGUAGGGAAACUUCGGAAAAGGGGGCAAAACUGAACGAGCAAAGCCGGGUGAGUGAAGAAGGUUUUCGGAUCGGAAAGCUCUGUUGUAAGUCAAGAAAGGGUGUGAGAGUGGAAAGUUCACACUGUGACGGUAGCUUAACAGAAAGGGACGGCUAACUACGUG